CCUUGACAUGCAGAGAACUUUACCAGAGAUGGAUUGGUGCCUUCGGGAACUCUGACACAGGUGCUGCAUGGCUGUCGUCAGCUCGUGCGUGAGAUGUUGGGUUAAGUCCCGUAACGAGCGCAACCCUUGUCCUUAGUUACCAGCACGUUAUGGUGGGCACUCUAAGGAGACUGCCGGUGACAAACCGGAGGAAGGUGGGGAUGACGUCAAGUCAUCAUGGCCCUUACGGCCUGGGCUACACACGUGCUACAAUGGUCGGUACAAAGGGUUGCCAAGCCGCGAGGUGGAGCUAAUCCCAUAAAACCGAUCGUAGUCCGGAUCGCAGUCUGCAACUCGACUGCGUGAAGUCGGAAUCGCUAGUAAUCGUGAAUCAGAAUGUCACGGUGAAUACGUUCCCGGGCCUU
Molecule: ribosomal RNA, 404 nt
Filed under: uncultured Pseudomonas sp.
Lineage: Bacteria; Pseudomonadati; Pseudomonadota; Gammaproteobacteria; Pseudomonadales; Pseudomonadaceae
Description: bacterial SSU rRNA
Rfam family: Bacterial small subunit ribosomal RNA
Source: RNAcentral